CAAACUUCGAGUACCAUUUUGUCGUUUAUUUAAAUUAAAAUCCAUAAACUGAGUAAUGGUAGUAGUAGUAGUAGUAGUAGUAGUGGUAGAAGUAGUAAUAGUAGUAAUAGUGGUGGUAGUAGUAGUAAUAGUAGUAGUUUAUAAUAUUAGACGUAGUAGUGGUAGAAGUAGUAAUAGUAAGUAGUAGUAGUGCAGUAGUAGUAGUAGAGGUAUUAGUAAUAGUAGUAGUAGCUGUGGUAGUAGUAGUAGUAGCAGCAGCAGUAGUAAUAGUAGUGGUAGUAGCAGUAGUAAUAGUAGUGGUAGUCGUAGUAGUGGUAGUAGUAGCAGUAGUAAUAGUUGUAGUAGUAGCAGUAGUAAUAGUAGUGGUAGUAGCAGUAGUAGUGGUAGUAGCGGUAGCAGUAGUAAUAGUAGUGGUAGUAGUAGCAGUAGUAGUGGUAGUAGUAGCAGUAGUAGUGGUAGUAGUAGUAGGAGUAGUAGGAGUAGAAGUGGUGGUAGUAGUAGUAGUGGUAGUAGCGGUAGCAGUAGUAAUAGUAGUGGUAGUAGUAGUAGGAGUAGUAGGAGUAGUGGUGGUGGUAGUAGUAGUAAUAGUAAUGGUAGUAGCGGUAGUAGUAGCAGUAGUAGUGUAGUAGCAGUAGUGAUAGUAAUAGUAGUGGUGGUAGUAGUAGUAGUAGUAGUAGUAGUGUAGUAGCAGUAGUGAUAGUAAUAGUAGUGGUGGUAGUAGUAGUAGUAUAGUAGUAGUAGUGGGAGUAAGAGUAAGACAUAGCUCUAUUAUUAGUUUACUUAUUUGUUUGUUUAUUUGUUGAUUUUUUUGCUGAUUGUUUGUUUGUUUAGUGGUUAAUUUGUUGAUUAGUUGGUUGGUUGAUUAGGGUGUAUGUUUGGUCGAUUGAUUGAUUGAUUGCCUUAUUGUGUUAGACAGACAGAAGGGGAAACUGCUAGUUUCACCCAGGCUAGGGUUAAUACUGUUACCAAAAACAAUAUUUAUAAUCCUG
Molecule: long non-coding RNA, 989 nt
Organism: Ictalurus punctatus (channel catfish)
Lineage: Eukaryota; Metazoa; Chordata; Actinopteri; Siluriformes; Ictaluridae
Source: Ensembl